GACGAACGCUGGCGGCGUGCUUAACACAUGCAAGUCGAACGGAAAGGCCCUGCUUUUGUGGGGUGCUCGAGUGGCGAACGGGUGAGUAACACGUGAGUAACCUGCCCUUGACUUUGGGAUAACUUCAGGAAACUGGGGCUAAUACCGGAUAGGAGCUCCUGCUGCAUGGUGGGGGUUGGAAAGUUUCGGCGGUUGGGGAUGGACUCGCGGCUUAUCAGCUUGUUGGUGGGGUAGUGGCUUACCAAGGCUUUGACGGGUAGCCGGCCUGAGAGGGUGACCGGCCACAUUGGGACUGAGAUACGGCCCAGACUCCUACGGGAGGCAGCAGUGGGGAAUAUUGCGCAAUGGGCGGAAGCCUGAUGCAGCAACGCCGCGUGCGGGAUGACGGCCUUCGGGUUGUAAACCGCUUUCGCCUGUGACGAAGCGUGAGUGACGGUAAUGGGUAAAGAAGCACGGGCUAGCUACGUG
Molecule: ribosomal RNA, 468 nt
Filed under: uncultured bacterium
Lineage: Bacteria
Description: partial 16S ribosomal RNA
Rfam family: Bacterial small subunit ribosomal RNA
Source: RNAcentral